GUUGUCCGGAAUUAUUGGGCGUAAAGCGCGCGCAGGCGGUUUCUUAAGUCUGAUGUGAAAGGCCACAGCUCAACUGUGGAGGGCCAUUGGAAACUGGGGAACUUGAGUACAGAAGAGGAGAGCGGAAUUCCACGUGUAGCGGUGAAAUGCGUAGAUAUGUGGAGGAACACCAGUGGCGAAGGCGGCUCUCUGGUCUGUGACUGACGCUGAGGCGCGAAAGCAUGGGUAGCGAACAGGAUUAGAUACCCUGGUAGUCCAUGCCGUAAACGAUGAGUGCUAGGUGUUAGGGGGUCCAACCCUUAGUGCUGCAGUUAACGCAAUAAGCACUCCGCCUGGGGAGUACGGCCGCAAGGCUGAAACUCAAAGGAAUUGACGGGGGCCCGCACAAGCGGUGGAGCAUGUGGUUUAAUUCGACGCAACGCGAAGAACCUUACCAGGUCUUGACAUCUUCGGACCACCCUAGAGAUAGGGUCUUCCCUUCGGGGACCGAAUGACAGGUGGUGCAUGGUUGUCGUCAGCUCGUGUCGUGAGAUGUUGGGUUAAGUCCCGCAACGAGCGCAACCCUUGAUCUUAGUUGCCAGCAUUUAGUUGGGCACUCUAAGGUGACUGCCGGUGACAAACCGGAGGAAGGUGGGGAUGA
RNAcentral lists this ribosomal RNA (640 nucleotides) under Alkalibacillus silvisoli. RNAcentral's name for it is "bacterial SSU rRNA". It matches the Rfam family "Bacterial small subunit ribosomal RNA", at positions 540 to 1182 of the family's 1533-position model. The record is from RNAcentral. Lineage: Bacteria; Bacillati; Bacillota; Bacilli; Caryophanales; Bacillaceae.